AUCGCUUCCCGGCCUUUUGGCUAGAAUCAAGUGCAGUAUUUGUUCUUAUUAGCAGAUUUUUAGAAAGGGGCUUGCUUCUUUUGCUCCAUGCAUUGUGGGGCAGUGGUAGCCUAUUGGGAAACAGACCCUUGAUCAGAAGGUUGUUGGUUCAAAUCCUGA
Molecule: small nuclear RNA, 159 nt
Gene: U2
Rfam family: U2 spliceosomal RNA
About the family: U2 is a small nuclear RNA (snRNA) component of the spliceosome (involved in pre-mRNA splicing). Complementary binding between U2 snRNA (in an area lying towards the 5' end but 3' to hairpin I) and the branchpoint sequence (BPS) of the intron results the bulging out of an unpaired adenosine, on the BPS, which initiates a nucleophilic attack at the intronic 5' splice site, thus starting the first of two transesterification reactions that mediate splicing.
Source: Ensembl